Long non-coding RNA from Mytilus trossulus (common blue mussel), 692 nucleotides. RefSeq lists it as uncharacterized. The record is from RefSeq and is a predicted model, not a curated record. The transcript has 3 exons. Lineage: Eukaryota; Metazoa; Mollusca; Bivalvia; Mytilida; Mytilidae.
UGCACUAGUGAUUGUCUUCAUGGACCAAUGAGUUAGGUUUGUUAUAACCGUUUAGGUUUUACAAGUUUGGGGUAUGACAACUCUCUCUUCUUUAUAAUGAUUGGUUCAUUAAGUCACAUGUCUUUUUUGGAGGGAAAUUCUAUAUUGUCUUGGUUAGAAUUUGCUUAUAUCUUGAACUAAGGGGUGCUGAUAUAGUUUGUACUCAUAUUUAAUGGACAUCCUUGAUUUUAUAAAUAAAAAAGAUAUUGAACCAGACUAAGAUUGUACAUGAAGUAGUACCACAAGGGUUCCAGCAAGUAUGUUGAGAGAAGUUCAGAACAAGCUAUUAUGUUUGAAGAGGAGUUGUCAGCACGUCAUCUUUGAAUAAAGUCAGUUGUAUUAGAAGUGAAGCCUAAACAGAAAUGAGACAAUUAUCAAAUAAUUCAAAGACUACAUGGAUGUUAUCUGGACUAACAUUUGUAUGACCCAAAUGUGGUAUUUUUCAUAUGAAGACUUACAAGGCAAAUAAUUGCAUGGCUGUGGCAAACAUGUGUAUUCAUUUAACAUGUUUAAAGACUUGAAGAACUUGUACUGCCUUCUUCAGAUUUCAGUAGAAUUUGUUUAAGACAGUAAAUUCUGAGUAUGAAUUGGAAGAAUUUUUGCUCAUUUAAAUGAAUUAUGAAAAUGUUUUACAUCUUAAAUAUACAAAAACA